GGCAACAGCCCGAGUUGUAAUUUGCAGAGGAAGCUUCUGGCGACGCACUGUCUAAGUCCCCUGGAACGGGGCGCCACAGCGGGUGAGAGCCCCAUGUGAUGGCUGCGGACCCAGUGUGAAGCUCCUUCGACGAGUCCAGGAGUUUGGNAAUGCUGCUCAAAAUGGGAGGUAAAUUCCUUCUAAAGCUAAAUAUUGGCCAGAGACCGAUAGCGCACAAGUAGAGUGAUCGAAAGAUGAAAAGCACUUUGAAAAGAGGGUUAAACAGCACGUGAAAUUGUUGAAAGGGAAGCGCUCAUGACCAGACUUGCGCUGGGCUGAUCAUCCGGUGUUCUCACCGGUGCACUCUGCCCGGCUCAGGCCAGCAUCGGUUUUGGUGGGGGGAUAAAGGCGCCGGGAACGUAGCUCCUCCGGGAGUGUUAUAGCCCGGUGUGCAAUACCCCCGCUGGGACCGAGGUCCGCGCAUCGCAAGGAUGCUGGCGUAAUGGUCAUCAGCGACCCG
This 499-nucleotide ribosomal RNA is filed under the name Podospora sp. E35. RNAcentral's name for it is "eukaryotic LSU rRNA". It matches the Rfam family "Eukaryotic large subunit ribosomal RNA", at positions 129 to 651 of the family's 3401-position model. The record is from RNAcentral. Lineage: Eukaryota; Fungi; Ascomycota; Sordariomycetes; Sordariales; Podosporaceae.